Molecule: long non-coding RNA, 367 nt
Organism: Callorhinus ursinus (northern fur seal)
Lineage: Eukaryota; Metazoa; Chordata; Mammalia; Carnivora; Otariidae
Source: RefSeq, a predicted model, not a curated record
GCCAGUGCAGUGGCUGAGGCCCCUGUCCUGCUCUUGGCUCUGCCGUGGGACCCUGGGAAUCUCUUGACCCCAUGAGCCUUGAUUUCUUCCCCUGCGUACUGGAGCGAUGGUAACCUGACCUGCUGACCUCGUGAAGACAAAGGAGAGUGGCUUUCCAAGAUCGAUGGAUCCAAGACAAGAAGCCCACUGGGGUGGCCAUAGGUGGCAUUCUUAAAUUGUUGUCCUUGAUAGAUUCUGACAGUUCAUGGCCUGCAGGAGUAGAGUAAAGUGGUAUCUGGGGGCAAGAGAACAUAUCCUCCACACGCCUCUCUUGACAGCGCUUUAUGUUUAUUCAUUCUGUGAUAACUUUGGAUAAAAUGAAAAUCAA